AUUGAACGCUGGCGGCAUGCCUUACACAUGCAAGUCGAACGGUAACGGGCCUUCGGGUGCCGACGAGUGGCGAACGGGUGAGUAAUGCAUCGGAACGUACCUUUCAGUGGGGGGAUAACGUAGCGAAAGUUACGCUAAUACCGCAUAUUCUGUGAGCAGGAAAGCAGGGGAUCGCAAGACCUUGCGCUGAUUGAGCGGCCGAUGUCAGAUUAGUUAGUUGGUGAGGUAAAGGGCUCACCAAGGCGACGAUCUGUAGCGGGUCUGAGAGGAUGAUCCGCCACACUGGAACUGAGACACGGUCCAGACUCCUACGGAGGCAGCAGUGGGGAAUUUUGGACAAUGGGGCAACCCUGAUCCAGCCAUGCCGCGUGAGUGAAGAAGGCCUCGGUU
This 390-nucleotide ribosomal RNA is filed under the name uncultured bacterium. RNAcentral's name for it is "bacterial SSU rRNA". It matches the Rfam family "Bacterial small subunit ribosomal RNA", at positions 30 to 424 of the family's 1533-position model. The record is from RNAcentral.